GACGAACCGUGCGAACGUUAUUCGGAAUCACUGGGCUUAAAGGGCGCGUAGGCGGGCCGCAUAGUCAGGGGUGAAAGCCUCCAGCUCAACUGGAGAAGUGCCUCUGAUACUGGCGGCCUCGAGGGGUGCAGGGGCGUGCGGAACUUAGGGUGGAGCGGUGAAAUGCGUAGAUAUCCUAAGGAACACCGGUGGCGAAGGCGGCACGCUGGACACCUUCUGACGCUGAGGCGCGAAAGCCAGGGGAGCAAACGGG
Molecule: ribosomal RNA, 253 nt
Filed under: uncultured bacterium
Lineage: Bacteria
Description: partial 16S ribosomal RNA
Rfam family: Bacterial small subunit ribosomal RNA
Source: RNAcentral